RNAcentral lists this ribosomal RNA (390 nucleotides) under Picozoa sp. Its description in RNAcentral is "partial small subunit ribosomal RNA". It matches the Rfam family "Eukaryotic small subunit ribosomal RNA", at positions 582 to 975 of the family's 1831-position model. The record is from RNAcentral. Lineage: Eukaryota; Picozoa.
AUUCCAGCUCCAAUAGCGUAUAUUAAAGUUGUUGCAGUUAAAAAGCUCGUAGUCGGAUUUUGGCAUCACGCCGAACUGUCUGCCGAUUGGUAAGUACGGUUUGGCGGGUGCUUCCUUCCGGAGGCUCGUUCCCUUCUUCAUUGAAGGGUUCGUUGGUUCCGGGUCUUUUACUUUGAGAAAAUUAGAGUGUUCAAAGCAGGCCUAUGCUCUGAAUAGGUUAGCAUGGAAUAAUAGAAUAGGACUUUGGUUCUAUUUUGUUGGUUUUCGGAAAUCGACUUAAUGAUUAAUAGGGACAGUCGGGGGCAUUUGUAUUCAGACGACAGAGGUGAAAUUCUUGGACCGUUUGAAGACAAACUACUGCGAAAGCAUUUGCCAAGAAUGUUUUCAUUG